GUGUCAGCCGCCGCGGUAAAACGUAGGGGACAAGCGUUAUCCGGAUUUACUGGGCGUAAAGAGCCCGUAGGCGGUCCAGCAAGUUGGACGUGAAAGCUCCCGGCUUAACUGGGAGAGGUCGUUCAAAACUGCUGGACUGGAGGCUGAGAGAGGCGAGCGGAAUUCCCGGUGUAGUGGUGGAAUGCGUAGAUAUCGGGAGGAACACCAGUGGCGAAGGCGGCUCGCUGGCUCAGACCUGACGCUGAGGGGCGAAAGCGUGGGGAGCGAACGGGAUUAGAAACCCGCGUAGUCC
RNAcentral lists this ribosomal RNA (292 nucleotides) under uncultured bacterium. RNAcentral describes it as "partial 16S ribosomal RNA". It matches the Rfam family "Bacterial small subunit ribosomal RNA", at positions 505 to 796 of the family's 1533-position model. The record is from RNAcentral.